Long non-coding RNA from Homo sapiens (human), 1974 nucleotides. Ensembl annotates it as RAB30 divergent transcript. Its record names the gene RAB30-DT. The record is from Ensembl. Lineage: Eukaryota; Metazoa; Chordata; Mammalia; Primates; Hominidae.
GGCUGGUCUCGAACUCCUGACCUUGUGGUCUGCCCGCCUCGGCCCCCCAAAGUGCUGGGAUUACAGGCGUGAGCCACCGCACCCAGCCAAUCUAACCAUUUUCAAGAUUUGAUCUGCAAAUACCUGAAAUUUUGCACUAGCAAAGUGCACUGUUUCAGACAAUCAAGGAAAUAAAACAUUUCUUGAUGAAAUCCUACCUCGCCUCAACAGGAAACUGAAUUGGAGUCCUCAAUUCUCAGUACAUCAGAACUAGUGUGUGAAAGGAUCAGGAGAGGACCAUAGUAUUGGAGAAUAAAACAUUAUGUAUUGAUGGUUGAGCUUUAUGUCAUCGUGUAGUAAAUGCUAUGACCAUAAAGCCAUUACUGUUAACACUUAAGUUUAUCUUCUGAAAGAAGCCUAUGAAAUAUCUCCAGAAAGACUAGGGGAUUUUCUUCUGUUUGUUUGUUUGUUUGUUUGAGAUGGAGUUUGCUCUGUUGCUCAGGCUGGAGUACAGUGGUGCGAUCUCGGCUCACUGCAACCUCUGCCUCCCAGGUUCAAGUCAUUCUCCUGCCUCAGCCUCUGGAGUAGCCAGGACUACGCACUGCGCCACCACACCCAGCUAAUUUUGUAUUUUUGGUGCAGACAGGGUUUCCCCAUGUUGGCCAGGCUGGUCUUGAACUCCUGGCCUCAAGUGAUCCGCCCACCUCGGCCCAAAGUGCUGGCCACCGCGCCCAGUCAGACUUGUUUUUUAGUGAAAUAAAUUGUUUUCCUUUAGGACCUUAUUCUUUAUGAUAACAGAUUCCAAGAAUAUGCAGUCUUGUCAAUGGCUGUUUCAUCCUCAGUUUCUUUAAAAAUAAAAUACAAUUAGAACAUUUUUAGAUAUGCUAUAUCUAUCCAAUCUAUUUUCCUGUCACCCAGUAAGGUUUUCUAUCAUCAGCACAGGUCUAUGAAAGGACAGUAAAGGGUCUCCUGUUACAUACCCUAGCACUAAUGUUUGUAAUAGAAUGUUAAGAUAAGUUGUUUCAUGUAAUCGGACUACAUUCAGUCUUUCUCUACCCUCUGUCCUCUAUUUACCCACCUAUGCAUGUGGCCUACUAAUUAUAUUGACUGUACAUGACCAGCAAGUUGUAAGUUCUUUUAAAAGCAGGAGCUCAACCAUAUUUGUAUUCACAUUUCCUUCUGCUUAAAACAGGGCUCUUGUUUCUUCAGUAAAUAUUCAUUCGGUAUCCACUAGGUGUCAGAUAAUAUACAAGGUAGGUUCUAGGGAUUCCAAGAUAAAUAAACACAGAUAUGCCAAUAUGAGUCUGACAGUUUUGGCGGGGAGAGGUGGAAAAUAGAUCUGCAAGCCAAAAAAGCUACAGUAGAAUAAUAUAAAUAUUGUAAUGGCAAUAAAAUACCAGAACUAUUAAUUUUACAUUUAGUAAUCAUUCAGUAUCAAUUAAAUGGGUAAAAUGGAUAUGUUGGCAUGAAUGACAUAUAACUGAAAAAACACUAAGAACUGUAUAGAAACUGAAUUAGACAUAUGAGUAAUAUUAGUAGGAAGGGGAGAGAAUAUUUGAUUCCAGGUAGGCUACCAAGCAGGAUGUUUUUUCAGCACAGCCUUGGAAUAAAAUCUGUAACCUUUGAAAACAAUCACAUUUUUGUUCUUAUGCAAUCUUUGUUUUUAAAUGUAUUUAUUGUUUUGGCUCUAGUCCCUGAAUGUUAAAAUUUUAGUGUCAGUGUUAAUUCUCACUUAUCUUCUCCAGACCUUACUCCCUAAUUUUCUCAUUUUCAUUUGCCCCAAUAAGUGCCAACCUUACCUUGAAUAGAAUAGUGGAUUUAUCAGCUUACAAGGACUAAAAAGUCGUCAUUUCCAAAAACAUCUGUCCAAUAAGUCUGCCUCAGUGACUACAUUUCUAGCAUUACAAUGUCAUUCUUAGUACACUGAUUUGAUCUUUACAAAUUACAUAAAUGUAUAAAAUUGUCGCAUGUACCCUAAAUUAUAUACAUCUAUUA